This 495-nucleotide ribosomal RNA is filed under the name uncultured bacterium. RNAcentral's name for it is "partial 16S ribosomal RNA". It matches the Rfam family "Bacterial small subunit ribosomal RNA", at positions 28 to 507 of the family's 1533-position model. The record is from RNAcentral.
GACGAACGCUGGCGGCGUGCCUAAUACAUGCAAGUAGAACGCUGAAGGAGGAGCUUGCUUCUCUGGAUGAGUUGCGAACGGGUGAGUAACGCGUAGGUAACCUGCCUGGUAGCGGGGGAUAACUCUUGGAAACGAUAGCUAAUACCGCAUAAGAGUAGAUGUUGCAUGACAUUUGCUUAAAAGGUGCAAUUGCAUCACUACCAGAUGGACCUGCGUUGUAUUAGCUAGUUGGUGGGGUAACGGCUUACCAAGGCGACGAUACAUAGCCGACCUGAGAGGGGGAUCGGCCACACUUGGACUGAGACACGGCCCAGACUCCUACGGGAGGCAGCAGUAGGGAAUCUUCGGCAAUGGACGGAAGUCUGACCGAGCAACGCCGCGUGAGUGAAGAAGGUUUUCGGAUCGUAAAGCUCUGUUGUAAGAGAAGAACGAGUGUGAGAGUGGAAAGUUCACACUGUGACGGUAUCUUACCAGAAAGGGACGGCUAACUACGUG